This 63-nucleotide transfer RNA is filed under the name Cordylochernes scorpioides. Its description in RNAcentral is "tRNA-Gly". Lineage: Eukaryota; Metazoa; Arthropoda; Arachnida; Pseudoscorpiones; Chernetidae. The record is from RNAcentral.
GCAUCGGUGGUUCAGUGGCGAAAAUGCUCGCCUGCCACGCGGGUUCGAUUCUCCUCCGAUGCA